CGCACUGCUGCUGUGGCUGCCGUUGUUGUGUGUGACUAUGCAUACAUCAGAUGCGUCAUCGGUGCUCCCCUUGAAAUAUUGAAAGUGUUGACUGCUAGUCCGGGCGCGUUUCACGUCCUGCCCACGGAUAACACUGCUGUUUUGUUUUUGUGUUGAUUUUUCUAGUUUGUUUUUGUUUGUCUUUAUUUAUAUUUGGUUAAAAGUGAUAUUCUCUGCUCUUCUUUGUCUUCGUAUUUUCUAUUAGUUUUCUGUGUAUUUAUUUUUAGUUGAUUCCUAUAUUCCAAAGAACCUUAUCCUCGUUCUUGGGUUUAUUUUGCAGCUCAUCAUUUUGUUGGCUGUUUGAUUAA
Cyprinus carpio carpio is the source of this 347-nucleotide long non-coding RNA. The record is from Ensembl. NCBI's taxonomy places the organism in Eukaryota, Metazoa, Chordata, Actinopteri, Cypriniformes, Cyprinidae.